RNAcentral lists this ribosomal RNA (2195 nucleotides) under Shigella flexneri. RNAcentral's name for it is "partial 23S ribosomal RNA". It matches the Rfam family "Bacterial large subunit ribosomal RNA", at positions 1 to 2212 of the family's 2925-position model. The record is from RNAcentral. Lineage: Bacteria; Pseudomonadati; Pseudomonadota; Gammaproteobacteria; Enterobacterales; Enterobacteriaceae.
GGGUUGUGAGGUUAAGCGACUAAGCGUACACGGUGGAUGCCCUGGCAGUCAGAGGCGAUGAAGGACGUGCUAAUCUGCGAUAAGCGUCGGUAAGGUGAUAUGAACCGUUAUAACCGGCGAUUUCCGAAUGGGGAAACCCAGUGUGAUUCGUCACACUAUCAUUAACUGAAUCCAUAGGUUAAUGAGGCGAACCGGGGGAACUGAAACAUCUAAGUACCCCGAGGAAAAGAAAUCAACCGAGAUUCCCCCAGUAGCGGCGAGCGAACGGGGAGCAGCCCAGAGCCUGAAUCAGUGUGUGUGUUAGUGGAAGCGUCUGGAAAGGCGUGCGAUACAGGGUGACAGCCCCGUACACAAAAAUGCACAUACUGUGAGCUCGAUGAGUAGGGCGGGACACGUGGUAUCCUGUCUGAAUAUGGGGGGACCAUCCUCCAAGGCUAAAUACUCCUGACUGACCGAUAGUGAACCAGUACCGUGAGGGAAAGGCGAAAAGAACCCCGGCGAGGGGAGUGAAAAAGAACCUGAAACCGUGUACGUACAAGCAGUGGGAGCACGCUUAGGCGUGUGACUGCGUACCUUUUGUAUAAUGGGUCAGCGACUUAUAUUCUGUAGCAAGGUUAACCGAAUAGGGGAGCCGAAGGGAAACCGAGUCUUAACUGGGCGUUAAGUUGCAGGGUAUAGACCCGAAACCCGGUGAUCUAGCCAUGGGCAGGUUGAAGGUUGGGUAACACUAACUGGAGGACCGAACCGACUAAUGUUGAAAAAUUAGCGGAUGACUUGUGGCUGGGGGUGAAAGGCCAAUCAAACCGGGAGAUAGCUGGUUCUCCCCGAAAGCUAUUUAGGUAGCGCCUCGUGAAUUCAUCUCCGGGGGUAGAGCACUGUUUCGGCAAGGGGGUCAUCCCGACUUACCAACCCGAUGCAAACUGCGAAUACCGGAGAAUGUUAUCACGGGAGACACACGGCGGGUGCUAACGUCCGUCGUGAAGAGGGAAACAACCCAGACCGCCAGCUAAGGUCCCAAAGUCAUGGUUAAGUGGGAAACGAUGUGGGAAGGCCCAGACAGCCAGGAUGUUGGCUUAGAAGCAGCCAUCAUUUAAAGAAAGCGUAAUAGCUCACUGGUCGAGUCGGCCUGCGCGGAAGAUGUAACGGGGCUAAACCAUGCACCGAAGCUGCGGCAGCGACGCUUAUGCGUUGUUGGGUAGGGGAGCGUUCUGUAAGCCUGUGAAGGUGUGCUGUGAGGUAUGCUGGAGGUAUCAGAAGUGCGAAUGCUGACAUAAGUAACGAUAAAGCGGGUGAAAAGCCCGCUCGCCGGAAGACCAAGGGUUCCUGUCCAACGUUAAUCGGGGCAGGGUGAGUCGACCCCUAAGGCGAGGCCGAAAGGCGUAGUCGAUGGGAAACAGGUUAAUAUUCCUGUACUUGGUGUUACUGCGAAGGGGGGACGGAGAAGGCUAUGUUGGCCGGGCGACGGUUGUCCCGGUUUAAGCGUGUAGGCUGGUUUUCCAGGCAAAUCCGGAAAAUCAAGGCCGAGGCGUGAUGACGAGGCACUACGGUGCUGAAGCAACAAAUGCCCUGCUUCCAGGAAAAGCCUCUAAGCAUCAGGUAACAUCAAAUCGUACCCCAAACCGACACAGGUGGUCAGGUAGAGAAUACCAAGGCGCUUGAGAGAACUCGGGUGAAGGAACUAGGCAAAAUGGUGCCGUAACUUCGGGAGAAGGCACGCUGAUACGUAGGUGAAGCGACUUGCUCGUGGAGCUGAAAUCAGUCGAAGAUACCAGCUGGCUGCAACUGUUUAUUAAAAACACAGCACUGUGCAAACACGAAAGUGGACGUAUACGGUGUGACGCCUGCCCGGUGCCGGAAGGUUAAUUGAUGGGGUUAGCGCAAGCGAAGCUCUUGAUCGAAGCCCCGGUAAACGGCGGCCGUAACUAUAACGGUCCUAAGGUAGCGAAAUUCCUUGUCGGGUAAGUUCCGACCUGCACGAAUGGCGUAAUGAUGGCCAGGCUGUCUCCACCCGAGACUCAGUGAAAUUGAACUCGCUGUGAAGAUGCAGUGUACCCGCGGCAAGACGGAAAGACCCCGUGAACCUUUACUAUAGCUUGACACUGAACAUUGAGCCUUGAUGUGUAGGAUAGGUGGGAGGCUUUGAAGUGUGGACGCCAGUCUGCAUGGAGCCGACCUUGAAAUACCACCCUUUAAUG